GAAUCUUGGACAAUGGGGGAAACCCUGAUCCAGCCAUGCCGCGUGAGUGAUGAAGGCCUUAGGGUCGUAAAGCUCUUUCGCCUGGGAAGAUAAUGACGGUACCAGGUAAAGAAACCCCGGCUAACUCCGUGCCAGCAGCCGCGGUAAUACGGAGGGGACUAGCGUUGUUCGGAAUUACUGGGCGUAAAGCGCGCGUAGGCGGAUCGUUAAGUCAGGGGUGAAAUCCUGGGGCUCAACCCCAGAACUGCCCUUGAUACUGGCGGUCUUGAGUUCGAGAGAGGUGAGUGGAAUUCCGAGUGUAGAGGUGAAAUUCGUAGAUAUUCGGAGGAACACCAGUGGCGAAGGCGGCUCACUGGCUCGAUACUGACGCUGAGGUGCGAAAGCGUGGGGAGCAAACAGG
Molecule: ribosomal RNA, 400 nt
Filed under: uncultured bacterium
Lineage: Bacteria
Description: bacterial SSU rRNA
Rfam family: Bacterial small subunit ribosomal RNA
Source: RNAcentral